Cynara cardunculus var. scolymus (artichoke) is the source of this 690-nucleotide long non-coding RNA. RefSeq lists it as uncharacterized. The record is from RefSeq and is a predicted model, not a curated record. The transcript has 3 exons. NCBI's taxonomy places the organism in Eukaryota, Viridiplantae, Streptophyta, Magnoliopsida, Asterales, Asteraceae.
AGUUAUAAGUCCAUUAAGGCAAGAUCAAACACCUCUAAUAAGGUUUUUCGUGUAGUUUCUAAUACUUUAAUUAUUGGACUUCAGGGACACGUUAUGGUGCCAGUUUGAGGAAGCAGAUCAAGAAGAUGGAAGUCAGUCAGCACAGCAAAUAUUUCUGUGAAUUUUGUGGAAAGUGAAAAGGAAGGCUGUUGGAAUCUGAGGUUGCAAAGAUUGUGGCAAAGUGAAAGCAGGCGGAGCUUAUAUGUUGAAUACCGCUAGUGCCGUUACUGUCAGGAGUGCCAUCCGUAGGCUGAGGGAGCAAACCGAGAGUUAGAUUUGGUCAUUUCUUGAUCUACUGGGCACAUUUCAGAAAGGUUUGUUUUAACAAUUUUGAUUACUGGUUAAAAUACAUUGCGAAUGGGAUCUUAAGCUUAAGUUUGAACACUAUGCAUGUGCCUGAAAUUUAAUCACUGAAGCUACUUAUAUUUGAUCUUGAUUUCAAAUAUAGUUGUUAAUGUACAUACAAGACGAUCUAGUUUCGUCCAUUUCCCUUUGCUCUAGGAAUGAUCUAUGAAACUAUAAGCAGAACAAUGAAAAUGCACUAGCAGCUAGGAAAAUGUGUGAUGAUUAGGCUCUUGGAACCAGUUGGUUUGACAUAUGAUAGAUGUUAUUAGGAUCAUCACAGUUACUUCUGUUGCGCUGUUAUUUAGC